Molecule: transfer RNA, 75 nt
Filed under: Kiritimatiellia bacterium
Lineage: Bacteria; Pseudomonadati; Kiritimatiellota; Kiritimatiellia
Description: Kiritimatiellae bacterium tRNA-Gln
Rfam family: tRNA
About the family: Transfer RNA (tRNA) molecules are approximately 80 nucleotides in length. Their secondary structure includes four short double-helical elements and three loops (D, anti-codon, and T loops).
Source: RNAcentral
UGCCCGAUGGUGUAAUGGCAGCACACGGCCCUUUGGAGGCCAGAGUCUAGGUUCCGAAUCCUAGUCGGGCAACCA